GGUUGUCAUGCCAAUGGCACUGCCCGGUAGCUAAAUGCGGAAGAGAUAAGUGCUGAAAGCAUCUAAGCACGAAACUUGCCCCGAGAUGAGUUCUCCCUGAGACCUUGAGUCUCCUGAAGGAACGUUGAAGACGACGACGUUGAUAGGUCGGGUGUGUAAGCGCAGCGAUGCGUUGAGCUAACCGAUACUAAUGAACCGUGAGGCUUAACCUU
Molecule: ribosomal RNA, 212 nt
Filed under: Enterobacter hormaechei
Lineage: Bacteria; Pseudomonadati; Pseudomonadota; Gammaproteobacteria; Enterobacterales; Enterobacteriaceae
Description: partial 23S ribosomal RNA
Rfam family: Bacterial large subunit ribosomal RNA
Source: RNAcentral